Molecule: ribosomal RNA, 322 nt
Filed under: uncultured eukaryote
Lineage: Eukaryota
Description: partial 18S ribosomal RNA
Rfam family: Eukaryotic small subunit ribosomal RNA
Source: RNAcentral
CCCUUAGAUGUUCUGGGCCGCACGCGCGCUACACUGAUGCAUUCAACGAGCCUAUCCUUGACCGACAGGUCCGGGUAAUCUUUGAAUCUGCAUCGUGACGGGGAUAGAUUAUUGCAAUUAUUAAUCUUCAACGGGGAAUGCCUAGUAGGCGCAAGUCAUCAGCUUGCGUCGAUUACGUCCCUGCCCUUUGUACACACCGCCCGUCGCUCCUACCGAUUGAAUGCUCAGGUGAGCCAUUCGGACUUUCAUCAUGCUGGUUUCCAGUUUUGAUGAAGGAAAGUCUUGCGAACCUUAUCAUUUAGAGGAAGGAGAAGUCGUAACA